Long non-coding RNA from Helianthus annuus (common sunflower), 919 nucleotides. RefSeq lists it as uncharacterized. NCBI's taxonomy places the organism in Eukaryota, Viridiplantae, Streptophyta, Magnoliopsida, Asterales, Asteraceae. The transcript is spliced from 3 exons. The record is from RefSeq and is a predicted model, not a curated record.
AGAUAAUAUGUGACAUGUUUGCAGGUAUUGGUCCUUUCGCUAUUCCAGCUACCCGAAAAGGAUGUUUAAUUUAUGCUAAUGAUCUCAAUCCAGAUGUUCCUUAUCUGAAUCGGUCAACCACUUCACUACUUCCAUGACUUAAAAGUCUAAUGAUAGAAGAAUCGACUGCAACAAAACUUUCUAAACUAGACUAGAAUAUAAUAAUCUUUCGUAGCAAUCAAGGUUGAGUUGGAUCCAUUAGGUUCUUUGAUUUUUUCAGAGGAGUAUAGCAUGAUGAGCCCAAGUUACGUCAGCUCCAGAUGAUUAUUAUAUUUCUAAAAGUGGAAACAUAACACCAGCUCUUCUUAAAGGAUUGGGGAGUUCUGAUUGGAAGUGGAAUUGUAUGGGGUUCUUAGAGCUCGGGGUUAUGACAUCAACAAAAACUCAAUUAUGGCUACUCUGACAUCUAUAAGUGGUCUUGCAUCUACUAUGGGACCUGCAAUAAAGAAGUUUAGCAAGGUCAACAAAUACGCCCAAUCUCCAUCUAUAUAUAAAUAGAUUCGGUCUUUAUAACCAAUGGAUUUAACAAUUGUAAUAUAUGCUUUUCUUGCAAGGAAUUUGGUUAGAUGUUGUCAAAUGCCUCAGUGACAAUAAAAAGAACAAGAGAGAAUGUACUUUGAAAACUUUGGAUGCUUGGGUGGUUGUUACCCAUCUUGAUAAAAUGUACCGAGUAUUACUAUUUCUUUGAUGCAAAACUUGGCGCAGUUUGCGUGUCUUAGGUCAAUGCACCGUCAUUCGUGCAAGCAACAAAUUUGUUUUCUCAGUUUCAUGUUGUCUCACAGAUGCACACACCUGUUGCCUCAAGUGGAGGACAACCUUUGAUGUUUUCUGCAAAGCAAGGUCGACCGACUGUUUGAUUAGUUGUUUUCCUUAUGAAACA